ACGGCGAAGUGAAGCCGGCAACAGCUUCAAAUUUUGAAAUCUGGCCUCCGGGCCCGAGUUGUAAUUUUGCAGAGGAUGCUUUUGGCGAGGCGCCUUCCGAGUUCCCUGGAACGGGACGCCAUAGAGGGUGAGAGCCCCGUCUGGUUGGAUGCCGAGCCUCUGUAAAGCUCCUUCGACGAGUCGAGUAGUUUGGGAAUGCUGCUCUAAAUGGGAGGUAUAUGUCUUCUAAAGCUAAAUAUUGGCCAGAGACCGAUAGCGCACAAGUAGAGUGAUCGAAAGAUGAAAAGCACUUUGAAAAGAGGGUUAAACAGUACGUGAAAUUGUUGAAAGGGAAGCGCUUGUGACCAGACUUGGGCCCGGCGGAUCACCCAGCGUUCUCGCUGGUGCACUCCGGCGGGCCCAGGCCAGCAUCAGCUCGUCCCGGGGGACAAAGGCUCUGGGAAUGUGGCUCCUCCGGGAGUGUUAUAGCCCUCUGCGCAAUGCCCUGGGGCGGGCUGAGGACCGCGCAU
Molecule: ribosomal RNA, 509 nt
Filed under: Claviceps paspali (paspalum staggers ergot)
Lineage: Eukaryota; Fungi; Ascomycota; Sordariomycetes; Hypocreales; Clavicipitaceae
Description: partial large subunit ribosomal RNA
Rfam family: Eukaryotic large subunit ribosomal RNA
Source: RNAcentral